Molecule: ribosomal RNA, 405 nt
Filed under: uncultured Rikenellaceae bacterium
Lineage: Bacteria; Pseudomonadati; Bacteroidota; Bacteroidia; Bacteroidales; Rikenellaceae
Description: bacterial SSU rRNA
Rfam family: Bacterial small subunit ribosomal RNA
Source: RNAcentral
GGGCUAGAACGCAAUCGGAAUCAGGCCGAAAGGUCUGCGCCAGCGAUGGCCGCUUGCGAGGUGCUGCAUGGUUGUCGUCAGCUCGUGCCGUGAGGUGUCGGGUUAAGUCCCAUAACGAGCGCAACCCCUACUGCUAGUUGCCAGCGGGUCAUGCCGGGGACUCUAGCGGAACUGCCAGCGUAAGCUGCGAGGAAGGUGGGGAUGACGUCAAAUCAGCACGGCCCUUACGUCCAGGGCUACACACGUGUUACAAUGGCCAGUACAGAGGGCAGCCACCCCGCGAGGGGGCGCUAAUCCUAAAAGCUGGUCCCAGUUCGGAUCGGAGUCUGCAACCCGACUCCGUGAAGCUGGAUUCGCUAGUAAUCGCGCAUCAGCCACGGCGCGGUGAAUACGUUCCCGGGCCUU